Non-coding RNA from Podarcis lilfordi (Lilford's wall lizard), 74 nucleotides. The record is from the annotation of a GenBank genome assembly. Lineage: Eukaryota; Metazoa; Chordata; Lepidosauria; Squamata; Lacertidae.
ACCUUGGCUAGUUCAGUCAGUAGGGUAUGAGACUCUUAAUCUAAGGAUUGUGGGUUUGAGCCCCAGGCUGGGCA